UUACACAUGCAGUCGAACGGUAGCACAGAGAGCUUGCUCUCGGGUGACGAGUGGCGGACGGGUGAGUAAUGUCUGGGAAACUGCCUGAUGGAGGGGGAUAACUACUGGAAACGGUAGCUAAUACCGCAUAACGUCGCAAGACCAAAGAGGGGGACCUUCGGGCCUCUUGCCAUCAGAUGUGCCCAGAUGGGAUUAGCUAGUAGGUGGGGUAACGGCUCACCUAGGCGACGAUCCCUAGCUGGUCUGAGAGGAUGACCAGCCACACUGGAACUGAGACACGGUCCAGACUCCUACGGGAGGCAGCAGUGGGGAAUAUUGCACAAUGGGCGCAAGCCUGAUGCAGCCAUGCCGCGUGUAUGAAGAAGGCCUUCGGGUUGUAAAGUACUUUCAGCGGGGAGGAAGGUGUUGUGGUUAAUAACCACAGCAAUUGACGUUACCCGCAGAAGAAGCACCGGCUAACUCCGUGCCAGCAGCCGCGGUAAUACGGAGGGUGCAAGCGUUAAUCGGAAUUACUGGGCGUAAAGCGCACGCAGGCGGUCUGUCAAGUCGGAUGUGAAAUCCCCGGGCUCAACCUGGGAACUGCAUUCGAAACUGGCAGGCUGGAGUCUUGUAGAGGGGGGUAGAAUUCCAGGUGUAGCGGUGAAAUGCGUAGAGAUCUGGAGGAAUACCGGUGGCGAAGGCGGCCCCCUGGACAAAGACUGACGCUCAGGUGCGAAAGCGUGGGGAGCAAACAGGAUUAGAUACCCUGGUAGUCCACGCCGUAAACGAUGUCGAUUUGGAGGUUGUGCCCUUGAGGCGUGGCUUCCGGAGCUAACGCGUUAAAUCGACCGCCUGGGGAGUACGGCCGCAAGGUUAAAACUCAAAUGAAUUGACGGGGGCCCGCACAAGCGGUGGAGCAUGUGGUUUAAUUCGAUGCAACGCGAAGAACCUUACCUGGUCUUGACAUCCACAGAACUUAGCAGAGAUGCUUUGGUGCCUUCGGGAACUGUGAGACAGGUGCUGCAUGGCUGUCGUCAGCUCGUGUUGUGAAAUGUUGGGUUAAGUCCCGCAACGAGCGCAACCCUUAUCCUUUGUUGCCAGCGGUUAGGCCGGGAACUCAAAGGAGACUGCCGUGA
RNAcentral lists this ribosomal RNA (1115 nucleotides) under Enterobacter sp. Its description in RNAcentral is "bacterial SSU rRNA". It matches the Rfam family "Bacterial small subunit ribosomal RNA", at positions 49 to 1157 of the family's 1533-position model. Lineage: Bacteria; Pseudomonadati; Pseudomonadota; Gammaproteobacteria; Enterobacterales; Enterobacteriaceae. The record is from RNAcentral.